RNAcentral lists this long non-coding RNA (554 nucleotides) under Homo sapiens (human). RNAcentral describes it as "HSALNT0347677". The record is from RNAcentral. Lineage: Eukaryota; Metazoa; Chordata; Mammalia; Primates; Hominidae.
CCCAGGGGCAUCAGCAGCCGCGGGCUCUCGGCCGCCGCCUGGGAACUCAGGGAUCUUCCUCUUACUUGACUGGGGAAUCCAAUCAGGAGCAGUGAAAGAUAUGCAAAUACCUUGAUGAUUUGCUCUUAUAAGGACUCAUCACUUCUCAAAAAACUUCCAAAUACACCUAAAAUGAGUUAUUCUUAAGAAGGAGAAUGAGGAUCCAACCCUUUAACUGAGAUCAAGAUCUAUUCCUGAGCAUCAAUGAGAGAAGACUGGACCAUGUGGGAACAGCUUAGAGUGAAGCCAACUCCCCAGGAGACCAAGUGAGGAAUGCAACACUAGGAUUCUUGACCAGAUUUCUACUAAAGCAAAGACUUAAGAACAGAACUGCAUGCUCCACAAGUAAACCCCAAUGGCCAGCAGAACGGAAAUGCUUCAAAGUUUGACUCAUGAAGAGUGGACCUCAAGUUUAUGACUUUUAGAUUAUAUUUCCCUAGACAUACUACUUGCACUUAUCUAGGUUCAAUCUCAUUUGCUCUUUCCUGACCAUGCUUUUGGCCGAUAGCUGAUAG